UCCAUCAGCAUCAGAAUUUCACAAUGACUGAAAUCAAAUUUUGGUUCAGAAUAGUUUAUUUCAUCAAACCACUGUUUUCAAACUUUCUCAGAUCAACAAUAAAAGCAAACGUAACAGCAGCAUAGUUUACAGCCACCAACCAACCCACCAACAAUUCAAAUUCAAAUCUAUAUCCAAACUAAUGUGUAAUUCGUUCAUUGUAGCAUUCUUAGUUUCGACUUGGGUCAGUGAAGAAGCUGUUGAUCGAUGGCAUAAUUUCUGGGGACUUGUUGCGCACGAAUUUCCUCAGAAAAUGUUCAGCAUACUUCUCUCCCUCAGCAAAGUUAUCCAGGACUCCAGCGGCUCUAUUCUCCUUGGUCACUCUGACUUCAGGAUUGAUGCAGAUGUUACGGACUAACUGAAAUCCGCAGAUUCCGACGGCCACUCCUACCGCCGCGAAAAGUGGGUAAACCUCAGGCCUGAGCCAUCGACUAAGGUUGGAAGAAGGAGCCAUUGAUGAAUAUCGGCGAAGGAAACGGAUCGUAGAGGCUGAGACGCGGCUGAAUCGGAGAGUUGUG
RNAcentral lists this unclassified non-coding RNA (557 nucleotides) under Hevea brasiliensis (rubber tree). The record is from RNAcentral. Lineage: Eukaryota; Viridiplantae; Streptophyta; Magnoliopsida; Malpighiales; Euphorbiaceae.